Long non-coding RNA from Cyprinus carpio (common carp), 97 nucleotides. RefSeq lists it as uncharacterized. The transcript is spliced from 2 exons. NCBI's taxonomy places the organism in Eukaryota, Metazoa, Chordata, Actinopteri, Cypriniformes, Cyprinidae. The record is from RefSeq and is a predicted model, not a curated record.
ACAAACAAGUGCUAGUACAAGUGUCUGAGGAUGAGUCUUUCUUACCGGCACAGAAUGGAGAGGUCUAAUGAUCAGAGAGGAUCGCAACAGCUUGGGC